This 106-nucleotide microRNA precursor is filed under the name Marmota monax (woodchuck). The record is from RNAcentral. Lineage: Eukaryota; Metazoa; Chordata; Mammalia; Rodentia; Sciuridae.
AUAAGAAUUAAUUAGGGGGCUUUGUUAGAAUGUAGGUUCUAGUUUAGUGGGACUGGUGUGGGGCCAGAGAAUCUGCCUUUCUUAUCAGCUCCCAGGAGAUGCUGAU